This 791-nucleotide long non-coding RNA is filed under the name Cicer arietinum (chickpea). RNAcentral's name for it is "long non-coding RNA (CARI_LNC001102)". The record is from RNAcentral. Lineage: Eukaryota; Viridiplantae; Streptophyta; Magnoliopsida; Fabales; Fabaceae.
GAGGUGGAGGAGAUGGAGAUGGUGGAGGGGGACUCUUGUAGUAGUAAGGAGGUGGUGGAGAUGGCGAUGGUGGUGGUGGAGAGUGGUAGUAGUAUGGGGGAGGAGGGGAGGGAGACGGUGGAGGUGGACUCUUGUAAUAGUACGGAGGUGGAGGGGAUGGAGAUGGUGGAGGGGGACUCUUGUAAUAGUAUGGAGGUGGAGGUGAUGGGGAUGGUGGUGGAGGUGAUUUGUAGUAAUAAGGAGGUGGUGGAGAUGGCGAUGGUGGUGGUGGAGACUUGUAGUAGUAAGGUGGGGGAGGGGAUGGUGAGGGUGGUGGAGGAGAUUUGUAAUAGUAUGGAGGUGGAGGGGAUGGUGAUGGUGGAGGUGGUGACUUGUAAUAGUAUGGUGGAGGAGGGGAUGGUGAUGGUGGUGGUGGAGACUUGUAGUAGUAAGGUGGGGGAGGGGAUGGUGAAGGUGGUGGAGGAGACUUGUAGUAGUAAGGUGGGGGAGGGGAUGGUGAAGGUGGUGGAGGAGACUUGUAGUAGUAAGGUGGGGGAGGGGAUGGUGAAGGUGGUGGAGGAGACUUGUAAUAGUAUGGUGGAGGAGGGGAUGGUGAUGGUGGGGGUGGUGACUUAUAGUAGUAUGGUGGGUGUGGAAUUUCUUUAGGUGGGGGAGGAGAAUGAUAAUAGUAUGGUGGAGGGGGGGAUGAUCUUGGAGGUGGAGGAGAUUUGUAAUAGUAUAAGGUGGGGGAGGGGAUGGUGAAGGUGGUGGAGGAGACUUGUAGUAGUAAGGUGGGGGAGGGGAUGGUGAAG